AAUGAACGUUGGCGGCAUGGGUUAGGCAUGCAAGUCGGGGGAAUCCCAGCAAUGGGGGAACCGGCGUAAGGGGCAGUAAGGCAUGGGUGCCUACCUUGGGGUUCGGGAUAGCCAUCAGAGAUGGUGGGUAAUACCGGAUGACGUCGUGAGACCAAAGAUUUAUCGCCCUUAGAGGGGCCCAUGUGAUAUGAGCUAGUUGGUGGGGUAACGGCCCACCAAGGCGAAGAUGUCUAGCGGGUGUGAGAGCACGACCCGCGCCACUCGCACUGAGACACUGGCGAGACACCUACGGGUGGCUGCAGUCGAGGAUCUUCGGCAAUGAGCGCAAGCUUGACCGAGCGAUGCCGCGUGAGCGAUGAAGGCCUUCGGGUUGUAAAGCUCUUUAGUGGGGGAGAAAAGCCGCAAGGUGUGAUCUAUCCCAAAAAUAAGCACGGGCUAAGUUCGUGCCAGCAGCCGCCGUAA
RNAcentral lists this ribosomal RNA (462 nucleotides) under uncultured bacterium. RNAcentral describes it as "partial 16S ribosomal RNA". It matches the Rfam family "Bacterial small subunit ribosomal RNA", at positions 29 to 523 of the family's 1533-position model. The record is from RNAcentral.